AUUGAACGCUGGCGGCAGGCCUAACACAUGCAAGUCGAGCGAGCGGCGGACGGGUGAGUAAUGUCUGGGAAACUGCCUGAUGGAGGGGGAUUACUACUGGAAACGGUAGCUAAUACCGCAUACCAUCAGAUGUGCCCAAAUGGGACUCGCUAGUAGGUGGGGGAAUGGCUCACCUAGGCGACGAACCCUAGCGGGUCUGAGAGGAUGACCAGCCACACUGGAACUGAGACACGUUCCAGACUCCUACGGGAGGCAGCAGUGGGGAAGAUUGCACAAUGGGCGAAAGCCUGAUGGAGCCAUGCCGCGUGUGUGAAGAAGGCCUUCGGGGUGUAAAGCACUUUCAGCGGGGAGGCGUUACCCGCAGAAGAAGCACCGGCUAACUCCGUGCCAGCCGCCGCGGUAAUUC
This 406-nucleotide ribosomal RNA is filed under the name uncultured bacterium. Its description in RNAcentral is "partial 16S ribosomal RNA". It matches the Rfam family "Bacterial small subunit ribosomal RNA", at positions 29 to 526 of the family's 1533-position model. The record is from RNAcentral.